AUGCUUACCCGGUAGUGAAGAUACCGUGAUCAUGAAGGUGGCUCACCCAGGGCGAAGCUUAACCGUUGCAAUCUGAUUGUGCUAAUCCCUCCGACUUCCCAAUAUGAGAAUUGUGGUUGCAUAAUUUUGGUGAUGGAGGACUGCGUUUGUGCUCUACCCUG
Molecule: small nuclear RNA, 161 nt
Organism: Dicentrarchus labrax (European seabass)
Lineage: Eukaryota; Metazoa; Chordata; Actinopteri; Moronidae
Gene: U1
Rfam family: U1 spliceosomal RNA
About the family: U1 is a small nuclear RNA (snRNA) component of the spliceosome (involved in pre-mRNA splicing). Its 5' end forms complementary base pairs with the 5' splice junction, thus defining the 5' donor site of an intron. There are significant differences in sequence and secondary structure between metazoan and yeast U1 snRNAs, the latter being much longer (568 nucleotides as compared to 164 nucleotides in human).
Source: Ensembl